RNAcentral lists this small RNA (280 nucleotides) under Histoplasma ohiense. Its description in RNAcentral is "hypothetical lncRNA". The record is from RNAcentral. Lineage: Eukaryota; Fungi; Ascomycota; Eurotiomycetes; Onygenales; Ajellomycetaceae.
AAAUGCAGGCUUGGUCAAGGAUCUCGGGGAUGAGUGGACGCCAAGACGUUAGAGCGAGGGGAGGAAGCCUCCAUUGGGGAUUGUAUCCCGUGAUCGGGGGAAAUAACAAGAAUAGAAGCUUGUACCCCACGAGCAAUAAUGUACGUUAGCUCCAUGCUUACACGGGAGGGUCCCGGUAAUUAAUUAGUCACAUUAGAGCUGGAGAGGAUGGCGGAGAUCAAAUCCUUGUUCAGGUAUUUUGCAGUUUAUAUUUAACCCCAGUAGUUAGGGAAUUUCAGAG